AACCUGAAGUGGCAGCCCCACAACUUGAAGUUGUUGUGACUCCCAAUAGGCACAUGAUCACUAUGCCACUUAGUCUUCAAGGCAGUCCCAAUCCAGUGACAAGAAGGAUGUUGGCUACGGCGUUGGCUGAUGAGGCAACACAUGCAGCACCACAACUUGAAGUUGUUGUGACUCCCAAUAGGCACAUGAUCACCAUGCCACCGAAUCUUCAAGGCAGUCCCAAUCCUGUGACUAGAAGGUAAACACAUCAACUGUUCUUUGUAAUGUUAAUUUUUCCUUCCAAAUCUUAUAUUUCUCAACACAUGCGGGAUGUUGGCUAUGGCAUUGGCCGAUGAGGCAUCGCAGCAACCUACCCCAAUUAUGAAGGACACCACGAUGGCAUAUGACAUGGCCUCAACCUCGAAAGCUAGGAAGUUGACCCCGAAGAGAAGGAAGAUCUAGUGUUGUGCAUCAUCUUCUAUUUUCUCUAUGCUUUUGGUUGUAAUAUGUCAAACUUGGCACCCAUUACUUUGUGUUCAACAUGGCACCAAUUAUUGCCUUAUGUUUUUGGUUGUAAUAUGCCAGACUUGGCAGCCCCUACUAAUUUGUGCAACAUCACAGCCUUAUGUUA
This is a long non-coding RNA of Triticum dicoccoides, 610 nucleotides long. RefSeq lists it as uncharacterized. NCBI's taxonomy places the organism in Eukaryota, Viridiplantae, Streptophyta, Magnoliopsida, Poales, Poaceae. The record is from RefSeq and is a predicted model, not a curated record. The transcript has 2 exons.